UAUUAUCCUUGACCAUUCGCUAAGGCUGAUGGGAGUUGCGGUCCAACAGCAUUUGGCAGGCAUGCUGUUGGCAGGCAUAAUUUUAGCAUAAUGAGAACAAACCACUGCAAGUAUCAGGCUUGUGCUCUUUUUCCUCUCUUGUUCAUGUGCGGGCAAGCUCGAAAGCUGCUGUUUCCAGUUUCUAAUAAACUGCAGUUUCCCAUUCCUUCCAAACAUGGGAAACUCUGGGGGAGCCCAGUCAGAUGGGCUUCUUCUUCUUCUUCUAACUGUGCUUAGUUAUCAAAGACCCGAAACCACAGUUUGAUCUGAGUUUGUUUCAAGCUGGCAGCUAUGGUCACCUCCAGGCCUCCUAACCUUGUAAAAGCUCUGACAUGGUGGGAUAGAGAAAUGUGUGUUGAUGUUAAAAGGUAAAGGUAAAAGAACCCCUGAACAUUAGGUCCAGUCAUGACCGACUCUGGGGUUGCGGCGCUCAUCUCACUUUAUUGGCCGAGGGAGCCGGCGUAUAGCUUCCAGGUCAUGUGGCCAGCAUGACUAAGCCGCUUCUGGCGAACCAGAGCAGCGCACGGAAACGCCGUUUACCUUCC
Podarcis lilfordi (Lilford's wall lizard) is the source of this 584-nucleotide non-coding RNA. NCBI's taxonomy places the organism in Eukaryota, Metazoa, Chordata, Lepidosauria, Squamata, Lacertidae. The record is from the annotation of a GenBank genome assembly.